GGCUGUAUGGUGCAAUGACUAGCACACUCUCAUAAAAAUUUCAGGGAGAGAUGUCGGUUCAAAUCCGACUGCGGCCC
Orbilia brochopaga is the source of this 77-nucleotide non-coding RNA. Lineage: Eukaryota; Fungi; Ascomycota; Orbiliomycetes; Orbiliales; Orbiliaceae. The record is from the annotation of a GenBank genome assembly.